This 440-nucleotide ribosomal RNA is filed under the name uncultured bacterium. RNAcentral describes it as "partial 16S ribosomal RNA". It matches the Rfam family "Bacterial small subunit ribosomal RNA", at positions 338 to 795 of the family's 1533-position model. The record is from RNAcentral.
CCUACGGGAGGCAGCAGUGGGGAAUAUUGCACAAUGGGGGGAACCCUGAUGCAGCGACGCCGCGUGAGUGAAGAAGUAUUUCGGUAUGUAAAGCUCUAUCAGCAGGGAAGAAAAUGACGGUACCUGACUAAGCAGCCCCGGCUAACUACGUGCCAGCAGCCGCGGUAAUACGUAGGGGGCAAGCGUUAUCCGGAUUUACUGGGUGUAAAGGGAGCGUAGACGGCUGUGCAAGUCAGGAGUGAAAGCCCGGGGCCCAACCCCCGGACUGCUCUGGAAACUGUAAAGCUAGAGUGCAGGAGAGGUAAGCGGAAUUCCUAGUGUAGCGGUGAAAUGCGUAGAUAUUAGGAGGAACACCAGUGGCGAAGGCGGCUUACUGGACUGCAACUGACGUUGAGGCUCGAAAGCGUGGGGAGCAAACAGGAUUAGAUACCCGAGUAGUC